RNAcentral lists this transfer RNA (64 nucleotides) under Curculionidae sp. 5 AH-2016. RNAcentral describes it as "tRNA-Phe". The record is from RNAcentral. Lineage: Eukaryota; Metazoa; Arthropoda; Insecta; Coleoptera; Curculionidae.
AUUUAAAUAGCUUAUUGAGAGCGUAGUAUUGAAGAUACUAAGGAAGUAUAAUUAUUUUUAAAUA